ACCAGCACCGUUAUCACCUCCACCAUCAUCACCACCAUCAUCACCACCUUCACCAUCACCACCACCACCCCUCUCUCCAUCUGCUGCAGUGAAUACCCCCUGAGUGGGCCUUGAUGGGAUUCUCUCUGCAGGAGGACCUCUUAGAUGCUCAGCUGCUGGUGUAGGAAGUGUGAGUUUUUACAUUUUAAAUGAAUCCAGCCUCGCUCCGCUCACUUGACAUGCCUGGUGGGCUGGAGGGGUUGUAAACUGUGUCUUCCUGGACACUGUAUUAAAAUUCACUUCUUAUCACCCAAUAGGUGGAAAUGAUCAUUUUAUUUCCCCUCUAAGGAGUGAGAAAAGGCAGCUUCAUCUAAGAAAAGAGAAAGUACUGGUGUGGGGUCAGUGUUGGAAUGUUAACCACGAGGUCUGCAGUUCAAAUCCCCCAGCUGCCCCAAGGGGACAUGUGAGGCUGACUGCUCCCGGAAAGACGAGUCUUGGAGACCUUAUUACAGGGUCACUCCGGGUCGGAAUGGACUCGGUGGCCGUAGGUUUCGGUGUUCGGCCCCGGACCGUUCCUGCCUACUUUCUGCUUGUUGGCUUUUCUGGCAUCCAAGUGCUGGGGGAGGGGGAGCAGAGGGGGGCUUUUGGCUACUGUUUGUGAGGGUGCUUUGCCACAGGGUCGUGCCUGUUGUGUGCGGUGUCUCAUGCCCUAGCUGCACUUUGUACCAGAGCCCUGGUGGUUUCGGUGGUUACACAUCGGGCUGCGAUCUGCAAGGUCAGCAGUUCAAAGCCACCAGCCACUCUGUGCAGGAGAGAGAUGAGGCUUUCUACUCCCAUCAACCGUUAGAGUCUCAGACAAACCCAAAGGGCCGGUUCUACUGUGCUCCAUAGGGUCACGAGUCAGCAGGGAUUGUUGAAAGCGGGAGAUGUCUACAUUUUGUAAUUGCUUAUUGACAGGGCCGCCUCUGCGGGGAGAUGGUUUCGGAAAUGCAUACUCCACUCCAUUUUCCCCUCCCUCCCUCCAGGGCUGUUCCGGUCACAACUGUUUGAGAUCUUCCGCUUUCUGUUUUCCCGUAGAAGUGGUGUCAUGAGCAGCAUUUCUGUAUGGACAGAAAGCGCCUGCUGGUCCCCCUUACGGGAACUGGGAUAACUGCACACCGGGGGUGGGGAACGCCCGCAGUAUAAGGCGCGGGAAACCAUCCCACCAGCGAACCGCGCCAUGCCUCACCAGGAGAAGCUGCUCCAGCGUCACGUUAAGGGAGGCAGUGGUAGUGUUGCCAGCUGCCCCACAGGAGAAAGAUGAGGCUUUCUGCUCCG
Echinops telfairi (small Madagascar hedgehog) is the source of this 1296-nucleotide long non-coding RNA. RefSeq lists it as uncharacterized. Lineage: Eukaryota; Metazoa; Chordata; Mammalia; Afrosoricida; Tenrecidae. The transcript has 3 exons. The record is from RefSeq and is a predicted model, not a curated record.